Molecule: ribosomal RNA, 425 nt
Filed under: uncultured bacterium
Lineage: Bacteria
Description: partial 16S ribosomal RNA
Rfam family: Bacterial small subunit ribosomal RNA
Source: RNAcentral
GUGGGGGAUAUUGCACAAUGGGGGAAACCCUGAUGCAGCGACGCCGCGUGAAGGAAGACGUACUUCGGUAUGUAAACUUCUAUCAGCAGGGAAGAAGAUGACGGUACCUGACUAAGAAGCCCCGGCUAACUACGUGCCAGCAGCCGCGGUAAUACGUAGGGGGCAAGCGUUAUCCGGAUUUACUGGGUGUAAAGGGAGCGUAGACGGUGAAGCAAGGCUGAUGUGAAAACCCGGGGCUCAACUCCGGGAUUGCAUUGGAAACUGUUUUACUUGAGUGCUGGAGGGGCAAGCGGAAUUCCUGGUGUAGCGGUGAAAUGCGUAGAUAUCAGGAAGAACACCGGUGGCGAAGGCGGCUUGCUGGACAGUAACUGACGUUGAGGCUCGAAAGCGUGGGGAGCAAACAGGAUUAGAAACCCGGGUAGUCC